RNAcentral lists this long non-coding RNA (1030 nucleotides) under Saimiri boliviensis boliviensis (Bolivian squirrel monkey). Its description in RNAcentral is "lncRNA (ENSSBOG00000036593.1)". The record is from RNAcentral. Lineage: Eukaryota; Metazoa; Chordata; Mammalia; Primates; Cebidae.
AGAUAGCCUCAAAAAAGGACAUUUCCAUUGGGGCUUUGAAAGAUAAGAUACAACACAGAAUCAAAGAUGGUUUCUGUGUCACUUACGACAGCAGUACCAACCAGGAGAUUUCCCUGCGUCCUGGUGGAGACCUCACCUCAUAACUCUGGGAUGACCGUGGAUCCCUUUGGCAAUGAGUUUGUUAAUGGUGGUGUGUUGGUGUCACCUGGUGACAGAAGCCUGAACUGCAGCUUGAACACUGUGGAGCAGUAGAGUGGGAGAGAGAAGCUGUGGCCCAAGCACACUAGAAAAUCUGGGUAAAAAAGAGGGCAUUCCCUGUGUACAGGGAUACUGAGUCAUUCAGACAGAAAAUAUAGUAUCUUACUGUGCUGAAAUGAAAGCAAUAUGUGACAGAAACAACAUAAUAACUUUUAUUUUGUAUGCUUUCAGACCUCUGGGUAAAUACUAGCUAGAGGUUUGUACAAGCAAAAAUGGAAUUACGGCAUUUAAGAUUUUAAUAACCUACCUCUACCCUUAUUAUGACCAUGUUCUAUAACAUUUAAAGUUACCUUACAACAUAAUUUUAAUAUUUGUAUAUGAAUAUUUCAUCAUAUGAUUUCUUGAACUUUAUUUCACCAGUAUUCUACAGGUGAAAAUGUAGCUCACUUACUAUAGUUUCUAUUGAAAACAAUAAUAUACUUAAUCUUCUGCUCAUAUAUGUAAACAUCUUUAUAAGUAUUUAUGCUUGAAAUCGUCCUUUCAAGGAAACUAUAAAGAGUUAUAUUAACAAAAUGCACUCAAACUACUAGUGCCAAUUUAUGUUCCUAACAUCACUAUGUAGAAGUACCUGUUCCUCCACACAUGAGGAAUAAUGGGAAUCAUUGCCAAUCUGAUAGGCGACAAACUACUACUCGUCAUUGCUCUCAUUAUAACUCAUUUUCACUGCCUGCCUAGAAUUCCAUCUUAUGAAUGUGAUAUAAUCCAUUUUCCUAAGCUUGUGUUAUUUAGAAUGUUCUGAUAUUUACUAUUAUUAAAACUGUGUCGACAGCAU